UCCGGCUUAACGCCGGCAGUCUCCCUAGAGUGCCCAACUCAAUGGUGGCAACUAAGGACGAGGGUUGCGCUCGUUGCGGGACUUAACCCAACACCUCACGGCACGAGCUGACGACAGCCAUGCAGCACCUGAACCAGCGGUCCCCGAAGGGAAAGUCCUAUUUCUAGGACGGUCCGCUGUUGUCUAGUCCAGGUAAGGUUCUUCGCGUUGCGUCGAAUUGAACCACAUGCUCCACCGCUUGUGCAGGCCCCCGUCAAUUUCUUUGAGUUUUAACCUUGCGGCCGUACUCCCCAGGCGGAUGACUUAUCGCGUUAGCUGCGCCACCGAAUUCCAGAUGAAUCCAACGGCUAGUUCUCAUCGUUUACGGCGUGGACUAC
RNAcentral lists this unclassified non-coding RNA (377 nucleotides) under uncultured delta proteobacterium. RNAcentral describes it as "contains 16S-23S intergenic spacer region". The record is from RNAcentral. Lineage: Bacteria; Deltaproteobacteria.